This is a long non-coding RNA of Hippoglossus stenolepis (Pacific halibut), 923 nucleotides long. RefSeq lists it as uncharacterized. The transcript is spliced from 3 exons. Lineage: Eukaryota; Metazoa; Chordata; Actinopteri; Pleuronectiformes; Pleuronectidae. The record is from RefSeq and is a predicted model, not a curated record.
AUGAUGUUUAGGUUAGAUAUUUAGUACAAUUGUAUUGUCGUUCCUUUAUUGAAAUUGGUUUCUUUUCACACCACAGGGCCUACCAGAGCAAGAUCUGUCAAACAACUGUGGGCUGUUUGUUUUGAUGUAUGCUUUGUACAUCAUAACAAAGGCGCAAUGUGAUUUCACUGAGGUAUGUAUAGAUAAGCAUUUGAAAAUAUAUUGUCACCAGUGGAUACAAGGCUUUUUAGGAUACGUGUUUAUUAUUCUGUUUUACUUUAUGACCAAAUCUAUUUUCUUUUUAGAUAACGCAGAAAGAAUACAUACAAGGGGACGUUGGGACUGGGAGCUUGAUGAUCUUUUAAGAGACACUCUAAAGGCAGCAGAGUGGUGUCAAACUCAGAGCUUUCCAGACAGGCUCUCCCUCCCCAGUCUCAUUGGGAUGGACGGGGAGGAUCGCAUCAACACGCUCCAACAACUGGGGUCGUAUGAUCGCCAGGAGGAAACCACUAUCCUCAUGGAACCUUUAUGUAAAAAGACAUCAGACUUAUGUAAUUUUUGCUGCAAAUUAUGGACAAGCUGAUACCUAAAAGGCUGAUUUUGUUGGCAUGUACAGUUCGGUCUGUCACUCUAUAAAACAGCUUGAUAUUGUUUAUAGGGGGCCCUACAUUUUUUAUUGUAAUUUAUUUGAAUUCUGCUAACAGUACAAUUUUUCUUUCCUUAUUUCUUCAAACACAGGCAAUGAUUAUUUCACAAAUAUACUGGUGUCACAUGUCUAAUUAAGAAGCAGUGUUCAUGAUAGAUGUUCAUGAUAGAUGUUCAUGGCAGACUUCAGGCCACCUGACUUCAGGAGGAGCCCAGCCCAAACCGCCCCCCUCACCAUGUGCGACUCCCCAGUUAAAACAGUGGAGUCUUUCAGAUUCCUGGGGACUAUAAUUGCACAG